GACUGGGGUGAAGUCGUAACAAGGUAACCGUAGGGGAACCUGCGGUUGGAUCACCUCCUUACCAAAAUGAAGC
This 73-nucleotide ribosomal RNA is filed under the name Glaesserella parasuis. Its description in RNAcentral is "partial 16S ribosomal RNA". The stretch from base 1 to 61 matches the Rfam family "Bacterial small subunit ribosomal RNA", at positions 1473 to 1533 of the family's 1533-position model. Lineage: Bacteria; Pseudomonadati; Pseudomonadota; Gammaproteobacteria; Pasteurellales; Pasteurellaceae. The record is from RNAcentral.